AGAGAAUAGAUACCCAGGUAGUCCACGCCGUAAACGAUGAAUACUAGGUGUAGGGGUUGUCAUGACCUCUGUGCCGCCGCUAACGCAUUAAGUAUUCCGCCUGGGGAGUACGGUCGCAAGAUUAAAACUCAAAGGAAUUGACGGGGGCCCGCACAAGCAGCGGAGCAUGUGGUUUAAUUCGAAGCAACGCGAAGAACCUUACCUAGACUUGACAUCUCCUGAAUUACUCUGUAAUGGAGGAAGCCACUUCGGUGGCAGGAAGACAGGUGGUGCAUGGUUGUCGUCAGCUCGUGUCGUGAGAUGUUGGGUUAAGUCCCGCAACGAGCGCAACCCUUAUUGUUAGUUGCUACCAUUUAGUUGAGCACUCUAGCGAGACUGCCCGGGUUAACCGGGUAGGAAGGUGGGGAUGACGUCAAAUCAUCAUGCCCCUUAUGUCUAGGGCUACACACGUGCUACAAUGGUCGGUACAAUGAGAUGCAACCUCGCGAGAGUGAGCAGAACUAUAAAACCCGAUCUCAGUUCGGAUUGUA
RNAcentral lists this ribosomal RNA (530 nucleotides) under uncultured bacterium. RNAcentral describes it as "bacterial SSU rRNA". It matches the Rfam family "Bacterial small subunit ribosomal RNA", at positions 773 to 1302 of the family's 1533-position model. The record is from RNAcentral.